RNAcentral lists this ribosomal RNA (220 nucleotides) under Calocybe gambosa. Its description in RNAcentral is "partial large subunit ribosomal RNA". It matches the Rfam family "Eukaryotic large subunit ribosomal RNA", at positions 103 to 316 of the family's 3401-position model. Lineage: Eukaryota; Fungi; Basidiomycota; Agaricomycetes; Agaricales; Lyophyllaceae. The record is from RNAcentral.
AAAAGCUCAAAUUUAAAAUCUGGCAGUCUUUGGCUGUCCGAGUUGUAAUCUAGAGAAGUAUUAUCCGCGCUGGACCGUGUACAAGUCUCCUGGAACGGAGCGUCAUAGAGGGUGAGAAUCCCGUCUUUGACACGGACUACCAGGGCUUUGUGAUGUGCUCUCAAAGAGNNNNNUUGUUUGGGAAUGCAGCUCUAAAUGGGUGGUAAAUUCCAUCUAAAGC